GACGGACGCUGGCGGCGUGCUUAACACAUGCAAGUCGAACGGAAAGGCCCUGCUUUUGUGGGGUGCUCGAGUGGCGAACGGGUGAGUAACACGUGAGUAACCUGCCCUUGACUUUGGGAUAACUUCAGGAAACUGGGGCUAAUACCGGAUAGGAGCUUCUGCUGCCUGGUGGGGGUUGGAAAGCUUCGGCGGUUGGGGAUGGACUCGCGGCUUAUCAGCUUGUUGGUGGGGUAGUGGCUUACCAAGGCUUUGACGGGUAGCCGGCCUGAGAGGGUGACCGGCCACAUUGGGACUACGAUACGGCACAGACUCCUACGGGAGGCAGCAGUGGGGAAUAUUGCACAAUGGGCGGAAGCCUGAUGCAGCAACGCCGCGAGCGGGAAAACGGCCUUCGGGUUGUAAACCGCAUUCGCCUGUGACGAAGCGUGAGUGACGGUAAUGGGUAAAGAAGCACCGGCUAACUACGUG
Molecule: ribosomal RNA, 468 nt
Filed under: uncultured bacterium
Lineage: Bacteria
Description: partial 16S ribosomal RNA
Rfam family: Bacterial small subunit ribosomal RNA
Source: RNAcentral